RNAcentral lists this long non-coding RNA (1397 nucleotides) under Phoenix dactylifera (date palm). RNAcentral describes it as "long non-coding RNA (PDAC_LNC014799)". Lineage: Eukaryota; Viridiplantae; Streptophyta; Magnoliopsida; Arecales; Arecaceae. The record is from RNAcentral.
AAAAGGGGUUACUUAUUUCAUGUAACUCUUAACGUGAGUACAACCUGCCAGAUCACGAAAAAGUAAAAAAUACAAAGGAGGAGGAAAUCUGAUGCGAACGUCCAAAGAAAAUCCUCGAAGUGCCGAGCGACAAAGGAGACGACCCAAUCUGUUGCCCUAUUCGCCUUCCUGAACAUGUGUACUGCUUGAAAGUCGGCCAUCAACUAAGCUAUCCUGCGAGUCUCUCAGAUAAGGAGAUGACCAUCACUAUACCAAUCUGCCUUCCGGAUCCAAUCGAUCACCAUAGAUGAAUCUCCCUCAAAAUACACUCGCGCGAUGCCAAGUACCUACCUCGCAUAAGAUAUACCCUCUCAGGCUGCCCGCAGCUCUGCCCCGACCAUUGUAAAUUUUGACAUGCGCCGCCCUCCUGCUGCUAUCAUCCUAUCAAGGUGAUCCCUAAUUACAAAUCCAACCCCUCCAGUCACACCAUCCAGGCAUCCACUGACCUACUGUCAUCGAAGUUUACUUUGAGAUAGCCAAGGGGUCGGGGUACCCAACAAACAAGGGCAAACCGGGCGCUAAAACAGCGUGAAGAGUACCCCAGAUGUCCCUAGCCAUUCCAGAAGAAAACACAGCGAUAGCCGCAGUGACCUUCCUCGCAUGUAGGGUCGCUCUAUCCACUACUAUCCUCGGAGACGACCUCCUUUCCUCAAACAGGUCGGCAUUCAUGUCCAAUCAAAUGUAGUAGGACAAGUAUGCCAUAAGAAUCCCUACCUCAGCAGAUCUAGGACUCUACAUGAAAUCUCUCAACAAAUAAGUCAUGUCAUGUGCCGAUACUACCUAGUCGGGUAGUGGGAUCGAUGACCUCCUCCAUAUCUCUCGAACCUUAGGGCACUGCAAAAAACAUGUUCAGUGGUCUUCUCGAUAUAUGCACACUCCUCACAACACUGAGAGACCCAAACUAACAACACCGCCCGCAGCCCUGCCCCCAUGCUACGCCGAACUAACAACUGAAUUAAUUUUUGAAAAUUGCACAAAUUGAUACUCGGUGAAAUAAGAUGCACGAACUGCAACCUGCAGCAGUCAUAGAUACUUAUAUAUUAUCAUCCUCCGUUGCGACUUCAGAGAUGGUUCUUGUAGAGGAUGACCCACGACUCGGAUGAAAUAGAAACGAUCCACAGGAUGUUAAAAGCAAAAAUUUAGAUGUUGAAAUCAAUAGAAAUUUAAAAUGCCCAGUAAAUUGACAUAUCUAUAUUAUUAGUUCAUACAAAACAAAAGAUAUCAAAGAUAUCGAUGAACGGCGUCGAGCAACUCGCGAAUCUGAUUAAAUCGAAGUAUUCAUGUAAAUCGUGGUUAAUACCAUAAAAAAAAACGUUGAUAAUAUGUUCGCAACCCAUAAAAUCUAUAUAUUCAAAUUU